AUGGCAUCUAGACUUACACAAGAGGAAGAAAACUAUGUCAGGAUGAGCCUUUUACUGACGGGAAUAUCUCCUCGUGCAGCACGAGGUUUGUUUGAUCACGAAUUUGUUCCGUCAUGCUUGAAUGCAACAAUAACGAAAGAGUACAAUAAACUUAAAGAUCUUCAGAAGAAGCGAAUAAUUAACCAGCAGCAGUGGAAUUUGCUGUUCCCAAGACGCCCCCGUAAGUAACAUUGGCCUAGCUAUGUUAAUAUCAAAAGGCACAUGUCUACACAGUGUGAAACCAAAUAUAAAAAAUAGUUGUUUAAUAUGUUCUUUUCAUAUAUUUCAUGAUAGUAUGACACUAAACCCCUAACGGGACGGAUUGUGCUUGAUAUUCAUAUAAUGAAGACAUAAUUUUUCAAUCAGUUUAAAUGAGGUCUGGAGCUUGCAUGUCAGUAUCUGCUUAUAGUCCAAUAUUUUGUUUAACAUCAUAGUGCGUCAUUUAUAAGGUUAUAUUUAAAAUGUAAUUGUUAUUAUUGUUAUGUAAUUGAUCUACUGAUAGGAUUUUUAUCUAAAACAAUUCUUUGAAAAAUCCAUAAAAUACUGAAAAAAGGAUAUGUUUUACGUAGUAUUGCGAUAAACAUUACUUUUGGUGUUAGUAUAUAUACACUACCAGAAUUUUAUACAGUGUAAACAUGUAGUUUAAGUUCCUUAAGGUAGCAAUAUACAGUUAGGAGAUGGGUUGUUCAUUUUGACCACGGUGAAUUGUUUAGUUCUAUUUCUAUAGGAAAGUUAUUGUGCAAUAAAAAUGAUUUUAGAUUGCUAAAGAAUAACAUUGCCUUCAAAAUGGGUUUAUUUAAACAUCAAGAUUUAUGUUACAUGAUAUAUAAAAAAAAGAAAAUGUGGUAAAGGCCAUUUUCUGUCUGACAGUCCGUAUUUUCACAUCGGUACAGCCCAUAGAUCCAUUAAUAAUUGUAGUGUUUUCAAAUCAUAUUUGAACCUCAAAUUUUCCAAUACAGUUAUGGAAAAAUUAGGUGAAAUGCAUAUGAAUUAUUUUGAUCUAUAGAUCGAUAUAAGUCAAUUGACUGCAUUUCUACUUUGAACCUAAUUUUGGUGACAAUUUUCACUUCCCCUUUUUGCAAUAUUUUGUUUCAAAUAAAUGCAGAUUAUUGCUUUGGUUUCGCCAAAAAGAGAUUUUAUUUUCACCAUUUCUAACUAUUGGAAAUCAACAUUUUGGAAGAUGCUGUGUCCAUACGUAUGAUCGUGAACAUAGUUUACAUAACACAAUCAUAUAAGCCUUAUUUGUUAUGAACCACGGAAAAGAGGGUGGUUGAAAUAAUGAGUUUCAUUUUUUUCCCUAACUGUGUAUUGCCAUAACUUGUCCCUAAAUAUAUGCAUUGUAUGAGCGAUAUUUCUUAAAACGUUUUUGUGAACUUGAAUACUAAUAAUUGUGUCACAGUGACUUUAUAUAUAAACAAUCCACGACACUUAAAUUUCAAUUUUAUGAAUGAACCGCACCGGUUGACUUUGCGUCAUUUGGGGGAAAAUGACAUACUGAGGUAAAAUAUAUAUUCUUCGUGAAGUCACAAUUUUCAAGGAAAAUCUCCAUGAAUUGGACCAGAGGGCAAAACAGAUUGAUAGUUGAAAAACACAAUGGAAAUAGGCAAACAAAAAUAUUCCAUUUCGUUGUUUAGGGUACAUGUAAUAAGAAUCAAAAUUAUAGUUGCUGGUGCCUAAAUAAAAAUUUGUUUGUAUCUGAUAUACAUAUUUUGCAUCAUCCUUAUGACCUUUAAUUGGAAUGUUUUGCUUAUCUCAAAGCAAAUUAAUUUACAUCGAUUUUAAAACAGAUUUGUCUAUUCUGAUUUGCUCAGUCAUUGCUCAAUCAAUAUACGUUUUUCUUUGACCACCUUUUUCUCAGUAAUGUCAAUAAAAAAUGUGCUCUGGCUCUCUCUUAUCCCAGGCAUAGAUUACCUUAGCGAAUUUGCAAUUUUUGCAAUUUGGAUCUCAAUGCUUACAACUUUGUACUUUUGGCUUAAAAUAUUUGAUAUGAGCGUCACUGAUGAGUCUUGUGUAGACGAAACGCGCGUCUGGCGUACUAAAUUAUAAUCCUGGUACCUUUGAUAACUAUCUCGUCUUAACAAGGCUUUUUUUAUACAGUUUGUCAGCUAUUCAUUUAAUCUAGUUUGUACACGCUUGUGCCAUGAUUUUAUUUAAUGGUUUGUAUGCUAGGGUAUCCCAAUUGUUAUCCCCACAUAGAGCAUAAUAUAUGCAAUAACUCCUUCUUUUGAAGGGGAGUACACAAGUAUGUCCGACCGAUACAGUCAAUUAUAUCUCUGAAACAAUCUGUUCUUUUCUGUGUAUUUCUAUAUAGAAAAGUUAUUAAUUCAAUAAUAAUUUUAUUUUGCAUACAUUUUAUUUAUAGAUGAACCUGAUUCCAGAAAAUUUGAUGUAACUCUUAUAAUAACACUUAUUAGACACCUGACUGAUCUGACCUCUCCUCAUGGUGGAUAUGACCAGUUACCAUCUGAUAAUGAAACGACACCAACCUCAGAUUUAGCCAGGAUAAAAUAUUACAGAAACAUUUUGGCUCACCUGGAUGAGGGGAAAAUAG
This 2590-nucleotide long non-coding RNA is filed under the name Mytilus galloprovincialis (Mediterranean mussel). The record is from RNAcentral. Lineage: Eukaryota; Metazoa; Mollusca; Bivalvia; Mytilida; Mytilidae.